GUUUUAAAUAUGUAUUUUACCCAGCGUACACUUUGAAUUUUACUCUAAAUUUCUUUGAAAUUUAAUUGGUAUGUUUUUUUGUUAUGUUUUCAUGCACUGUCUAUGAUUUUAGGCAGCGUGUGAACGGGACUUUUAUUUUGAUCUGUCAGUGACAUCACAUGGCUGGACCGCUCUCCUCUGGCUCAACAAAGGAACAAGAAACUGCGAAUAUCUGAAAUCCAUGUGACACUAUUAUCAAGAUGGCAUUUAUUAAAGAGGAGAUUGAAGACGUGAGCAUUUCAGAAACAUUCAGAGUGAAAAAUGAAGAUGCAGAGGAUGACACAGAAAAAAAAAUGAUUUCAAAGCCACCUCAUUAUCGAUUUUCUGGAGUUCAGCCAUCCAGCUAAACAAGACUGUCAACAUGCUCUGAGCAGGUACUUGAUAUCCUUUUCAAAAUAUCUUUAAAUGUUCAUUUUCAAAUUGUAACUUGUUUCAUCGUGCUGUCCUUUUUUCUUAGUUUUUUUUAACAGCACAUGUAAGUGUGUCAUGCUCUGUUCAGUUGAUGAUACUUCUCUCCUAUUCUCCGCUAAGCAGACAGAUGCUGUCACACCCCACAUACUCAUCAUCUGCAAAGAUCAACUGCCACUCAUUUUUACAAAAAUACACAUAAUGAUGGAUGUGAAGACAUCACAGGAAACUGGAAAAAUAUUUAAUUGGAACUUAGCCUUUGUUUCUAUUUGUAUUUGUGUGUCUAUCUGUUCUGUUAUAUUUCAUUUACUUAUUUACUCAGUCUUAAAUUUACAUUCAAGUGUAAUUUUUAUGCUUUCUUGUAAUGACUUUUUAGAGCAUUGUCAUUUUUGCUAUAAUUUCCUGUCAAUAAAAAAGCAUAAUUGACAUAACUUGCUGUCUUUUUUUU
RNAcentral lists this long non-coding RNA (895 nucleotides) under Sinocyclocheilus anshuiensis. RNAcentral's name for it is "lncRNA (ENSSANG00000002113.1)". The record is from RNAcentral. Lineage: Eukaryota; Metazoa; Chordata; Actinopteri; Cypriniformes; Cyprinidae.